This 443-nucleotide ribosomal RNA is filed under the name uncultured bacterium. RNAcentral describes it as "partial 16S ribosomal RNA". It matches the Rfam family "Bacterial small subunit ribosomal RNA", at positions 338 to 795 of the family's 1533-position model. The record is from RNAcentral.
CCUACGGGGGGCAGCAGUGGGGAAUAUUGGGCAAUGGGCGCAAGCCUGACCCAGCAACGCCGCGUGAAGGAAGAAGGCUUUCGGGUUGGAAACUUCUUUUCUGAGGGACGAAGAAAGUGACGGUACCUCAGGAAUAAGCCACGGCUAACUACGUGCCAGCAGCCGCGGUAAUACGUAGGUGGCAAGCGUUAUCAGGAUUUCUUGCGUGUAAAGGGCGUGUAGGAGGGAAAGCCAGUCAGAUGUGAAAACUCCGGGGUCAACCCUGAGCCAGGAUUUGAAACUGUUUUUCUUGCGUGCUGGAGAGGUAAUCGGAAUUCCGGGUGUAGCGGUGAAAUGCGUAGAUAUACGGAGGAACACCAGUGGCGAAGGCGGAUUGCUGGACAGUAACUGACGCUGAGGCGCGAAAGCGUGGGGAGCAAACAGGAUUAGAUACCCUAGUAGUC